CCUACGGGAGGCAGCAGUGAGGAAUAUUGGACAAUGGACGAGAGUCUGAACCAGCCAAGUAGCGUGAAGGAUGACUGCCCUAUGGGUUGUAAACUUCUUUUAUAUGGGAAUAAAAUGUUCCACGUGUGGGAUUUUGUAUGUACCAUAUGAAUAAGGAUCGGCUAACUCCGUGCCAGCAGCCGAGGUAAUACGGAGGAUCCGAGCGUUAUCCGGAUUGAUUGGGUUUAAAGGGAGCGUAGGUGGUUUGUUAAGUCAGUUGUGAAAGUUUGCGGCUCAACCGUAAAAUUGCAGUUGAAACUGGCAGUCUUGAGGACAGUAGAGGUGGGCGGAAUUCGAGGUGUAGCGGUGAAAUGCGUAGAGAUCACGAAGAACACCGAUGUCGAAGGCAGCUCACUGGACUGGAACUGACGCUGAGGCUCGAAAGUGUGGGGAUCAAACAGGAUUAGAUACCCGAGUAGUC
This 460-nucleotide ribosomal RNA is filed under the name uncultured bacterium. RNAcentral's name for it is "partial 16S ribosomal RNA". It matches the Rfam family "Bacterial small subunit ribosomal RNA", at positions 338 to 795 of the family's 1533-position model. The record is from RNAcentral.